Molecule: ribosomal RNA, 799 nt
Filed under: uncultured bacterium
Lineage: Bacteria
Description: bacterial SSU rRNA
Rfam family: Bacterial small subunit ribosomal RNA
Source: RNAcentral
GGAAACUGGAUAACUNGAGUGCAGAAGAGGGUAGUGGAACUCCAUGUGUAGCGGUGGAAUGCGUAGAUAUAUGGAAGAACACCAGUGGCGAAGGCGGCUACCUGGUCUGCAACUGACGCUGAGACUNGAAAGCAUGGGUAGCGAACAGGAUUAGAUACCCUGGUAGUCCAUGCCGUAAACGAUGAGUGCUAGGUGUUGGAGGGUUUCCGCCCUUCAGUGCCGGAGCUAACGCAUUAAGCACUCCGCCUGGGGAGUACGACCGCAAGGUUGAAACUCAAAGGAAUUGACGGGGGCCCGCACAAGCGGUGGAGCAUGUGGUUUAAUUCGAAGCUACGCGAAGAACCUUACCAGGUCUUGACAUCUUGCGCCAACCCUAGAGAUAGGGCGUUUCCUUCGGGAACGCAAUGACAGGUGGUGCAUGGUCGUCGUCAGCUCGUGUCGUGAGAUGUUGGGUUAAGUCCCGCAACGAGCGCAACCCUUGUUACUAGUUGCCAGCAUUAAGUUGGGCACUCUAGUGAGACUGCCGGUGACAAACCGGAGGAAGGUGGGGACGACGUCAGAUCAUCAUGCCCCUUACGACCUGGGCUACACACGUGCUACAAUGGACGGUACAACGAGUCGCGAACUCGCGAGGGCAAGCAAAUCUCUUAAAACCGUUCUCAGUUCGGACUGCAGGCUGCAACUCGCCUGCACGAAGUCGGAAUCGCUAGUAAUCGCGGAUCAGCAUGCCGCGGUGAAUACGUUCCCGGGCCUUGUACACACCGCCCGUCACACCAUGAGAGUUUGUAACACCCAAAGU